RNAcentral lists this ribosomal RNA (253 nucleotides) under uncultured bacterium. RNAcentral's name for it is "partial 16S ribosomal RNA". It matches the Rfam family "Bacterial small subunit ribosomal RNA", at positions 524 to 776 of the family's 1533-position model. The record is from RNAcentral.
UACAGAGGGGGCAAGCGUUAUUCGGAAUUAUUGGGCGUAAAGGGCGCGUAGGCGGCCUGGCAAGUGGAUGGUGAAAUCCCUCGGCUUAACCGAGGAACUGCCUUCCAGACUGCUUGGCUUGAGACCGGGAGAGGUGAGUGGAAUUCCCAGUGUAGCGGUGAAAUGCGUAGAUAUUGGGAGGAACACCAGUGGCGAAGGCGGCUCACUGGACCGGUACUGACGCUGAGGCGCGAAAGCGUGGGGAGCAAACGGG